CACUCUCGACAACCGAUAUUUUGGCUCUUGCAUCCAUGAAAAAAGUAAUGGAAUGCCAUACUUGGUGUGAAUUGCAAAAUUCCGUGAACCAUUCAGUUUUUUAAUGGCAGUUGCGUCCGAAACCCUCCGACCUAAGGCCCGUUUUGCUAGGCGUC
RNAcentral lists this ribosomal RNA (155 nucleotides) under Cornus kousa. RNAcentral describes it as "partial 5.8S ribosomal RNA". It matches the Rfam family "5.8S ribosomal RNA". From Rfam's summary of the family: 5.8S ribosomal RNA (5.8S rRNA) is a component of the large subunit of the eukaryotic ribosome. It is transcribed by RNA polymerase I as part of the 45S precursor that also contains 18S and 28S rRNA. Functionally, it is thought that 5.8S rRNA may be involved in ribosome translocation. The record is from RNAcentral. Lineage: Eukaryota; Viridiplantae; Streptophyta; Magnoliopsida; Cornales; Cornaceae.